Molecule: ribosomal RNA, 466 nt
Filed under: uncultured bacterium
Lineage: Bacteria
Description: partial 16S ribosomal RNA
Rfam family: Bacterial small subunit ribosomal RNA
Source: RNAcentral
GACGAACGCUGGCGGCGUGCUUAACACAUGCAAGUCGAACGGUAAGGCUCCAGCUUGCUGGGGUACACGAGUGGCGAACGGGUGAGUAACACGUGGGUGACCUGCCCUGCACUUCGGGAUAAGCCUGGGAAACUGGGGCUAAUACCGGCUAGGACCAUGGUGUGGAUACUGUGGUGGAAAGUUUUGUCGGUGUGGGAUGGGCCCGCGGCCUAUCAGCUUGGUGGUGGGGUAAUGGCCUACCAAGGCGGCGACGGGUAGCCGGCCUGAGAGGGUGGACGGCCACAUUGGGACUGAGACACGGCCCAGACUCCUACGGGAGGCAGCAGUGGGGAAUAUUGCACAAUGGGCGGAAGCCUGAUGCAGCGACGCCGCGUGGGGGAUGACGGCCUUCGGGUUGUAAACUCCUUUCACCAUCGACGAAGGGUUUCUGACGGUAGAUGGAGAAGAAGCACCGGCUAACUACGUG